This 498-nucleotide ribosomal RNA is filed under the name uncultured bacterium. RNAcentral's name for it is "bacterial SSU rRNA". It matches the Rfam family "Bacterial small subunit ribosomal RNA", at positions 28 to 508 of the family's 1533-position model. The record is from RNAcentral.
GAUGAACGCUGGCGGCGUGCCUAAUACAUGCAAGUCGUACGAACAGCGGAAAGUGCUUGCACUUUCCAAGUAAGUGGCGAACGGGUGAGUAACACGUGAAUAACCUACCUCAAAGUCUGGGAUAACCAUUGGAAACAGUGACUAAUACCGGAUAAAACCCAAGUGCACAUGCACUAAGGUUAAAAGCUGCGUUUGCAGCGCUUUAAGAUGGAUUCGCGGUGCAUUAGUUAGUUGGUGAGGUAAAGGCUCACCAAGACGAUGAUGCAUAGCCGGGUUGAGAGACUGACCGGCCACAUUGGGACUGAGACACGGCCCAAACUCCUACGGGAGGCUGCAGUAGGGAAUCUUCCACAAUGGGCGCAAGCCUGAUGGAGCAACGCCGCGUGUGUGAUGAAGGCUUUCGGGUCGUAAAGCACUGUUGUAUGGGAAGAACGGGUUUAAGAGGAAAUGCUUAAACAGUGACGGUACCAUACCAGAAAGGGACGGCUAAAUACGUGC